This is a long non-coding RNA of Gallus gallus (chicken), 4462 nucleotides long. The record is from Ensembl. Lineage: Eukaryota; Metazoa; Chordata; Aves; Galliformes; Phasianidae.
UUUUUGGUGGAAAUAAAUACAUUACCUGCACAUUUUCAAAUGAAAUAUACAGUUGCAAUCAGAUAUUCAACUCAAAAGUUUGGUCAAGUCUUUCGACUAGACAUUUAUAAGUCCUAUCUUACAAGAGAAUAAGACCUAUGUUAUCAUAGAAUCAUAGAAUUACUCAGGUUGGAAAGGACCUCAAAGAUCAUCAAGUCCAUCCGCAGCCUAACCAUAGUACUCUAACAACCCCCUUCUAAAUCAUAUCUCUGAGCACCACAAGCACCACAUCCAAACGGCUCUUAAACACAUCCAGGGACAGUGACUCAACCAUCUCAUCACAAAGAAUUAUUCUUCACUUCACCAUCACACAUUUUUUAUGUCACAACUUCUUGGUAAUACAUGCAUUUGUGAACAAUUGUCAAGAGUGAAAUACAGGAAGAGUAAAAUUUCAUCAAAAAUCUCUGAUGAACAUAUUGAGAUCUCAGUAAGAAUUGUGACCACUUGCACUGAACCAGACCAAUGCAUUAGUUUCAUUAAAGCGAAGUCAAAUAGGCCACUAGUUUUAAUUUUUUGUUGCUCAGUUUCAUAAUGUGUUAAUAAAAAUAUUAAGAAUUAAACUGCUUUGUUUUUUUAUAUAUUUUUCAAGGGCUGCUCUAAAAAUAAUGUAACUUUAUUUUAAUAUGUUGGUCUAUGAUGUCAGAGGCAGAUGUCGGUAAAAUGGCAAUAGAUGUUGAACCUUCCUACUAAUAUUCUUUUGCAUUUUCUUGCUAUGCUACUGAUGGCAGCAGACAGGCAGUCUGUCAAAAUGGUGUCUGACAUUAAAGAGAGAAUAAAGAGAAGAUGUGUCAUUGAAUUCCUUCACACACACACACACACAAAAUGGAACUAUUUGACAUUGACUCUGAAUGUUUUGGAGAUCAAGAUUUGGACAGGAGCAUCCUGAAGCAGUAGGAGCUAUGUUUCAGCAGUGGCAACAGUGGGUCACCUCCAGUGUUUCCAAGAAAAUACAUAGGAGGAAUUACUUUCAAGGUGACAUAUGCAGUUCAAGACAAUUCCUCUUCUCUCAGUGCAGUCCUGACAAGCCAAAAGGUUGGACGCCCAUGGACUACUGCCUCUCUUUUGUUAUGAAUGACACUGGAAAAGAAGGCUGUCAAGCAAGUACUGUCACAUGUGGAUUAUCAGUUUGAGAGGAAGACACUGAAAGGCAUAAGAUUUCAGAAUAAUCAUACAAUCAAAGAAUCAUUAAGACCACUGAAAAUGUCACUAAGAUCAUCUAGUCCGACCAUCAACCCAUGAUCACCAUGUUCCCUAAGCCGUGUCUCUAAGUGCCAUGUCUACAUGUUUCUUGAAAACCUCCAGGGAUGGUGACUCCAUUUCUUCCCUGGUCAGUUUGUUCCAAUACAUUAACACUCCAAGAAGAAAUUUUCCUAAUGUCCAACCUGAACCUCCCCUCGUGCAACUUAAAGCCGUUCUCUCUCAUCCUAUUGCUGUUACCUGGGAGAAGAAUCCAAUCUCCACCUUGCCACAAUUUCCUUUCAGGCUGCUGUAGUGAGCUACAAAGUCUCUCCUGAGCCUCCUCUACUCAAGACUUCACAAUCCCAGUUCCCUUAGCCACUCCUCAUAAGUCUUGUGCUCCAGAUCUAAUUAAAGGGAAUAUUCUCAUUAGACAGUACCUUAUUUAUAGAUAAUUAAUUGUAUAGGAAUAUAAAAUCAGAUAAUCUAUUUUCUUCCUUCAGAGAAAUUAUUUUUCUGGUUUAUUUUUAGAUAUUUUGACUGUCUAUAUUGUUGGGCUGAACUUGCCAAACUUCAUAGUAUCCAUAUACAUCCUAAGCCCACAGGUCUAGCCCAUCAGACCAAUUUAAAGGGGAUCAAAAAGUUGUCUACAUGCUCAGCACCAGAAUCCUGAGUGAAAUAUAUGUGCCAGGACUUUUUUGUUAAGAGGCUAUAAUGAUUUAUUUAUACAGUUUGCUACUUUUGGAGAAAUUCUACAUGUUGUUAAUAUGUAUAAAUUUACAUUUUUCAGUACUUAAGAGAUUUUAAUUUUUAUUAAAGCAUAUAAAAAUUGCAGAUGUAGCAGAUUUUCUAAGAUACAGCAAGUUAGCAACUUUUUCCUGGAUUCUUUUUGUACCAUACUUUCUUAUAUUAUUGUAGAUUAUAUGGCACAAAGCACUCAUCUGAGAAGCUUGAAAAAUAUUAAAGAUAUUACUUGAAGUUAGAGAAUUACCCCCCAAAUAUAUUAUUUUAUAGAAGUGAUAGAAUUCUGUACAUAUAUGUAUAAACAAAUAUAAAACUUACAUAAAUUUAAAAUAUAUUCCAUGUGUUUGUAUGCAUGUACAUAUAUAUAUGCAUAUAUAUAUAUAUGGGGUACACAUAUACUCCAUGGAAAAUUCAUAAAUACUUCCUCAUAUUCAUACAAAAAUGUAUGUAUCAUAUUUGAAUUAUUAGAGUGCAAGAUGCUGAAUAUUUUUUAGAGAGCAUAAAAUGUAUUUCUUGUGACUGAAAAAAUGUGACUGGAAAAAUGUGAUCUAAAAUGAGGAAUUAGCCAAAUAUUUCAGAUUCAGAAAGAGCAUAGCAACCUGUUGCUGCUAUCAGUAAAGCUGGAUAGCAUGGUCUUCCUGGAAUGGAUUCUGUACAUGGUUAAUCAAAUAGUCAUUAAUUCAAAUCCUCUGAAUUACUGUGAAAAGUGAAUUCAUGUACAUAUCUUUUCUCUCAAAAGGAAGUUGCCUACCUUGUAUCCUGUGAUAAAGAUUUAUUCUAUUAAAACCAUAAAAGGCUCACUGAGCAAAAUGGGAGAUUUGUGAUCCAUCUUAGAGUAAUUUUUUUUCUACCUUUUUAGUGAAAAUACUAUCAUGCUUUCUAUAGACAUACAGAAUAUACUGUCAGUGAAUUCACUGUCACAGUGAAUUAACCCCCUUCUCAGAAGCUCGGUGUACCCUUUUUGAUAAUUUGAUAAUUUGUGUUUCAGUAAUUGCUGCUGGGGCACUUUUGUAGGCCAUUUAUAGUUUGCUGUACUUGUGUUAUUCAAUAUUCACAUAAUCAAUAAGAAACAUUAGCACAUACAUACAGGACACAUCUAAGGCAUGAUCCUAUUGAAGAUUUUUAAUUAUGGAGAUUUCUAAAACUGCCUUUAAAUCCUCUCCAGAUUUUCAGAUAAAUAAACUUGCACAAGAUACAGCAACAAUGACAUACCAAAAAAAAAAAAAAAAAAGGUCUUUUAAUCAAAUCACAGUGUAAUUACUCUCUAACACUCAAAUCACCUCCAUUAUUUAAAUAAACUUUUAAGAAACUGCUGGUAUAGUCUAGGACUGCAAAGAGUCAUUUAAACAGAAAGGUUUUAUGAGUUCUUGCCUGUCUUGGCAAGAAGGCAGUGUGCUCACAUUUUACAAGAGUUAUAGGAGAUAUUUUGAAAAAAAAAAAAAAAUGGAAAUCUUUGAAGAAUGCAUAUACUGUGAAAGCUCUCCAUAUCAGAAGUAUUGCUGCCUUGCAAUAUUUACAGUAAUACUUCUGGUCUGCUGUGCACCUUUUCUGCUUAGCAAUUAGACAUGGUAUUUAUCAUGAAAACGCACACAUUUUUAAUGUUUGAUAUACAAUUGCACUAAAAAACGAGCCAAAUUGAGCCAUUAAAACAAUCUAUCUAUUCAUCAUAACUUCUGUAUUUCCAUUUGCUUCUGUCUUGAAUGUUUGCUAUUUAAACAGCAUUAUCAUAAAGAUUCUAUAGAAAUUAUUGUUGAAUUUAGGAAUUCAUAAAACAGUAUUACAGUUUGUUGAGAUUUAUUUAGUAGUCUUCAUGAAUGAAUGUAUUUUUUCUGUUGACAAAUAAGGCACUUUUUUUUAAAGUAAACUGUAAUAAAUGCCCUUUUAUUAUAUAUAUAUAUAUAUUUUGCUAAUACACGAAGUUAGUAUUCUUUCUCUGUUUGAAUUGGUUUGCACUGCUUGAAUGAAUUGUACAUGCAAGAAGAGAAAAAAAAUAUAUUUAUUAAACAUAGUUUAAGCCACAACAUCUAUUUCUAAUUAUGAAAAAAAAAAAUCAGGACAUAUACGAGUGUAAAAUUUUUUGAACAAUGUAGGGUUUCCAUUAUCUCGCUCCAAUUUAUAGGAGGGAGAGGAGGUUCUUUGUAUAUGGUAAUUGCCAGGGAGAAGCAAGGACAGACAAUCAGCAGGGAAUUAUAUCUGCGAGAUAGCUGGUUUCAUCAGCUUUGACAACAUCAACUUGAUGAAGACAGAGACACAGCUUUGAAGGAGAGCAUCUCCUCCUUUCUCUACCUAGUGGCUACUCUUUGUUCAAGAGACCUCACGACAAAACAAAGUGCCAGUGCACAGAUGGUAUCCAGAUAACCAUAGUGGAGGCAUGACUAGAGAAGAACAGCCAUCCGGCUGAGGAUGACAGACAACAUCAGAGGAUGGCUAUACAUACCGGACAUGAUCCAUCCUAGGGUUCAUUGGAAUAGACAUCACUACAAUUAAAUUUGACAGAGAAGUG